RNAcentral lists this small RNA (120 nucleotides) under Caballeronia telluris. Its description in RNAcentral is "Burkholderia sp. LMG 22936 Betaproteobacteria-1 RNA". It matches the Rfam family "Betaproteobacteria-1 RNA". The record is from Rfam by way of RNAcentral. Lineage: Bacteria; Pseudomonadati; Pseudomonadota; Betaproteobacteria; Burkholderiales; Burkholderiaceae.
CGCGCGACUGGUCGGACAUCAACGGCAGCGGUAGCGGGAAAUCAGGUACUGUGGGAAAGCCUUGAGAUACCGGACAGGGUGGCGAAGUUAUCAGCCAGUUUUUUUGCAUUCAUGGUCGGU